RNAcentral lists this long non-coding RNA (753 nucleotides) under Cavia porcellus (domestic guinea pig). RNAcentral describes it as "lncRNA (ENSCPOG00000030027.1)". Lineage: Eukaryota; Metazoa; Chordata; Mammalia; Rodentia; Caviidae. The record is from RNAcentral.
CUUUCAUCAGCCGCAGGAGGCAUUUGAGGAUGCUGGCUGGCUCGGAGUGCGUGCACUCAGCACAGGAGGAAGUGACCCCUGGUGGCAGCUGUGCAAUCGGCCACCCCUCUUCAGAGGCGGCGCUCAAGUCUUCCGACCAGCCUGUGCCGCUGGUGGAUAGAAUGUGGCAGAGGCGAUUGUGACUUCCGGACGUAGGUCACAAAAGGCUGCGCGGUUCCUUCUAGGUUCUCGUCCUAUUGGUUGUGCAAGCCGGCGCUGCGGCAGCCCCAUGGGUAGGCGCGGGCUGUGAGGCACGAAGUCUCCGCAGCACCCCAGGACCGAGGCUUCCUCUCAGUCAUGUGAAUGAACCACCUGGUAACAGAUCUCCAGCCUCAGUCAAGCCCGCAAAUGUCUGCCGCUCCCGGGGACACCUCCACGCACCAGCUAACCUGUUCCAACGUUCCUGGGCCUCAGAGAUCGUGAGCUUAGAGAUGUUCAUUAGUUUUUACUUCUUCUUCUUCUUAUUUUCUUUUCUUUUUUUCUUUGUGAGCUGGAAGUGGUGGUUCAUGACUGUAACCCCAGCGCACAGGAGGCUGAGGCAAGAGGAUCGCCACAAGUUGGAACCCAGCCUGACCUACAUACUGAGACCCAGUCUCAGAGAGACAGAGAGAGAGAGAGAGAAAAAGAGGUUGUUCACAAAACUGAGCUUCACUUCGAGUGCAAAAGCUUCACGAUACCUUUCAUGCUAUCUGCAGCUUUUCCUUCAUUAAGCUU